CCUUCCUAGGCCAAGGAGCCGGUAUCAGACACAAUUACAGUCCACAACACCUAGUCUCACCACACCCCCAAGGGUACUCAGCAGUGAUAAAUAUUGAGCAUAAGCGAUAGCUUGACUCAGUCAGAGAAAAGAGAGCCGGCCAACCCGGUGCCAGCCGCCGCGGCUACCCCGUGGGCUCGAGUUGAUGAUCAUCGGCGUUAAGCGUGAUUAAAGUUCAUCUAGAUUAGGGCCAAACUAAUACUUAGUAGUAAAAAGCUUGUUAUUAAGAAGAACAUAAACGAAAGUUGCCCUAACUCACAUACUUGAAUACACGACAGUUGGGAAACAAACUAGGAUUAGAUACCCUACUAUGCCCAACCGUAAACAAUUAACCUACAUCUAUAAGCGCCUGGGAACUACGAGCUAUGCUUAAAACCCAAAGGAUUUGACGGUGUCCCACCCAACUAGAGGAGCCUGUUCUAUAAUCGAUGAUCCCCGAUAUACCUAACCACCCCUAGCUCAUCCGUCUGUAUACCUCCGUCGAAAGCCUACCAUGUGAACGUUUACAGUAGGCCCAAGGACCCACAUUAGCGCGUCAACACGUCAGGUCAAGGUGCAACUUAAGGAGUGGGAAGUAAUUGGCUACAAUUUCUAAUCUAGAACAAACGAAAGACAGUGUGAAAUCACAGUCACGAAGGCGGAUUUAGCAGUAAAAAGAAAAUAGAGAGUUCUUUUUAACCCGGCUCUGGGACGCGUA
Molecule: ribosomal RNA, 736 nt
Filed under: Odorrana fengkaiensis
Lineage: Eukaryota; Metazoa; Chordata; Amphibia; Anura; Ranidae
Description: partial 12S ribosomal RNA
Rfam family: Bacterial small subunit ribosomal RNA
Source: RNAcentral